Molecule: long non-coding RNA, 375 nt
Filed under: Vigna radiata
Lineage: Eukaryota; Viridiplantae; Streptophyta; Magnoliopsida; Fabales; Fabaceae
Description: long non-coding RNA (VRAD_LNC007457)
Source: RNAcentral
UUAUGUUCUUUGAACGCAACAAAGACUUAGGUUACAGGUAUAUUUAUAAGUGGAUUUCGUUGUUAACGAGAGGACUGUUUUUCAUUUUAUAUGCAUAACCAUGAUGUCAUAGCUCAACAGAAAUUGCUUUCGUUAACAGGAAAUCCAAAAUGCUAUGCUGAUAUAUGAAUUACGGGGACCGUGGUCUAAAUACGGCAUCGGUCAUUCAAGGACGAAAAGGAGAUAACCCAGUACAAUAUAAGUGCAGUUUUUUAAUUACAUUCCUCAUCUACAACGAAAAUGCAGUUCUACUAAACAAAAAUUAUGAACAAAAGUAAUAAACUGGAAUGUCACAGGUUCAACCGUUCAAACCCCAACUACGUGAGCACCACCAGG